Molecule: unclassified non-coding RNA, 588 nt
Filed under: Penicillium paneum
Lineage: Eukaryota; Fungi; Ascomycota; Eurotiomycetes; Eurotiales; Aspergillaceae
Description: sequence contains 18S rRNA gene, ITS1, 5.8S rRNA gene, ITS2, 28S rRNA gene
Rfam family: 5.8S ribosomal RNA (bases 218-370)
Source: RNAcentral
UCGUAACAAGGUUUCCGUAGGUGAACCUGCGGAAGGAUCAUUACCGAGUGAGGGCCCUCUGGGUCCAACCUCCCACCCGUGUUUAUUUACCUUAUUGCUUCGGCGGGCCCGCCUUCACUGGCCGCCGGGGGGCUCACGCCCCCGGGCCCGCGCCCGCCGAAGACACCCCGAACUCUGUCUGAAGAAUGAAGUCUGAGUGAAAAUAUAAAUUAUUUAAAACUUUCAACAACGGAUCUCUUGGUUCCGGCAUCGAUGAAGAACGCAGCGAAAUGCGAUACGUAAUGUGAAUUGCAAAUUCAGUGAAUCAUCGAGUCUUUGAACGCACAUUGCGCCCCCUGGUAUUCCGGGGGGCAUGCCUGUCCGAGCGUCAUUGCUGCCCUCAAGCCCGGCUUGUGUGUUGGGCCUCGUCCUCCGAUUCCGGGGGACGGGCCCGAAAGGCAGCGGCGGCACCGCGUCCGGUCCUCGAGCGUAUGGGGCUCUGUCACCCGCUCUGUAGGCCCGGCCGGCGCUUGCCGAUCAACCCAAAUUUUUAUCCAGGUUGACCUCGGAUCAGGUAGGGAUACCCGCUGAACUUAAGCAUAUCAAUAA